RNAcentral lists this ribosomal RNA (610 nucleotides) under uncultured bacterium. RNAcentral describes it as "bacterial SSU rRNA". The stretch from base 1 to 524 matches the Rfam family "Bacterial small subunit ribosomal RNA", at positions 338 to 873 of the family's 1533-position model. The record is from RNAcentral.
CCUACGGGAGGCAGCAGUGGGGAAUAUUGCACAAUGGGCGAAAGCCUGAUGCAGCGACGCCGCGUGAGGGAUGACGGCCUUCGGGUUGUAAACCUCUUUCAGCAGGGAAGAAGCGAAAGUGACGGUACCUGCAGAAGAAGCGCCGGCUAACUACGUGCCAGCAGCCGCGGUAAUACGUAGGGCGCAAGCGUUGUCCGGAAUUAUUGGGCGUAAAGAGCUCGUAGGCGGCUUGUCACGUCGGGUGUGAAAGCCCGGGGCUUAACCCCGGGUCUGCAUUCGAUACGGGCUAGCUAGAGUGUGGUAGGGGAGAUCGGAAUUCCUGGUGUAGCGGUGAAAUGCGCAGAUAUCAGGAGGAACACCGGUGGCGAAGGCGGAUCUCUGGGCCAUUACUGACGCUGAGGAGCGAAAGCGUGGGGAGCGAACAGGAUUAGAUACCCUGGUAGUCCACGCCGUAAACGGUGGGAACUAGGUGUUGGCGACAUUCCACGUCGUCGGUGCCGCAGCUACGCAUUAACGUUCCCGUCCGUCGGGUAGGUACGGCCGCGAGACGUAAACUAACAAAGAAGUAGACGGCGNGAGACGUGCCGACGGACGACGACGAGGGAGGAGG